This 859-nucleotide long non-coding RNA is filed under the name Columba livia (rock pigeon). RNAcentral's name for it is "partial uncharacterized LOC102085853". Lineage: Eukaryota; Metazoa; Chordata; Aves; Columbiformes; Columbidae. The record is from RNAcentral.
GGUAUCGCUACAGCUUCUGUUGCUCCAGUUUGCUUGCACAUCGCCAGCAUCCUGUAGGCAGGUACAACAGAAAAACUCUUUGGGCUGUGCUUUCUCCUUCCACUUUAACCACUCUCUAAUCUGGUGUGGACCUUACCUGCCAUAAGCAAGACAGCAACUGAGAAGCACCAGGGAACCAUAUUAUAUCAGAUAUUCCCAGCUGUGAGUCAUUAACUCCAUCCAUGAUACUGAAUCAUUUUCUAGAACUGGGAUGAUUAUGAAGAAAUCCCGAUGAAAUAUACACACAAAUUCCUGGCAAUCAGCGAAGCAGUGACAGUUCAUGGAGCUGCCCUUCACAAACCUUGAAGUAGCUUUCAUCUUGCUGGCUUUUGUCAUUUUCUCCUUGUUUAUCCUGGCUUCCAUCUACAGUGACCCACAUGACAACAAAGAAGAGGAAAGCUCCACACAGAAAGAGUACAAGAAAAGGAGCAAAUCCAAGAAGAAAAAGACACAUUCAAGUAUGACUGAAGUGGUUUAGAAUAUUACCCAAGUUCACUGAGGUAGCUCUGGAAGCUGGCCACCUGAAGACAGUGAGAAAAAGGAAGUGAGAAAGGAAGAACCAGAUCAUCCAUCAGAUGGAAUCCAGACAUGACAAUUAGAGUUAAUGAACCACGACCCAUGAAGCUGCUUCAGCACCUUUUUACAACCCCACGUCAUGGCCUAAAUAAAACCACCAGGGCUUAUUUUACAGAGCACAUCUGCUCUAAAUUCCAAAAGGAGAAACUUUUGAUUCAGAAGAUACAUUUGGUUUCUUCCUCACUUUUCAGUCAUGUACAUUUAACAGUAGUGAAUUUACUUUUCUAUCUGUUAAGUCAACAGA